This 538-nucleotide long non-coding RNA is filed under the name Androctonus crassicauda. Lineage: Eukaryota; Metazoa; Arthropoda; Arachnida; Scorpiones; Buthidae. The record is from RNAcentral.
AAAGCAAAGAAUAUGGGCUAUUAAUAAAUGAAUCAAAAAUAUGAUAAAAAAAAAAAAAAUACUAUUUUGUGCAUUUUAAGUAUGUAAUAACUUAAAUAUUUCCUUUCAGAAGCACUGUAACUUCAAUUGGUUUUGAGAGAUGUUUGUGUUGCUGAAAACAAAAAAUGGCAUUUCCAAUGAAACUUAGUGUAUAGUAAGGCUAGCAGAACCAAAACUGCCAAUGAAAAUUCAGAAAAGAUACUAAACAAUUCAUUAGAAAGAUCCAUCAAGUGUAGUGUCUAUAAAAGCAUGGAUGAAAGCAUUUUUUUCAAACAAGUUCAGUGCUGAAAAGGAAGAUCAAGGACGACUAAUCAUCUCUGAUGAUAUAACCAAAACAAUCAGAUCUGUGUUUCAAAAGAGUGCAUCAAAGUUUGUGAGAAAACAGCUGAAAAUAGCACAGUCAACUGUGCAUAAGAUACAGUCAAGCCCCGAUUUAAUGAAUCGUGUGGGGUUGAGAUUUUUAUCCGUUAAAUCGAGGUAUUCGUUAAAUCUGGAUAAU